RNAcentral lists this long non-coding RNA (586 nucleotides) under Solanum lycopersicum (tomato). RNAcentral describes it as "long non-coding RNA (SLYC_LNC001295)". Lineage: Eukaryota; Viridiplantae; Streptophyta; Magnoliopsida; Solanales; Solanaceae. The record is from RNAcentral.
GUACUUGUGCUUAAAGCUUAAGGGUCAUUAUAUAUAUAUAUAUAUAUAUAUAUAUCACAUCAUAUAUGUGGGUGGAAAUUGGAAAAAAGAGGGUGAAAGAGAAAAAUUGUUAGUUACGGCUUGAGGUGUGGGGGCUGCAAUAAGGAGACGCGUGCCAAACAAGGUAAUUGAGUUUUCUAUUUCUUUAUUAUUCUUACACUAACUACACAACACUAUUACCAUGAACGACUAUCAUCAUACUUUUUGUCAUAAUUUAUUAAGAUUAUUAUGUUUAGGAAAAUACUGAAUUAAUUAUAAAAAAAAAGUUUAUUAUAGCUUGCCACUUUUUCUUGUUUUCAGACUGGAUAGCUCAUCUUGUUUUGAGGAUGGAUGAGGGCGUUGCACUUGGUAUUGUCAUCCGUCAAAACGUUUUUUUACUUUGAUUAAAGUUACAUAUUCCCCUUUUUAACUUGUAAAAUGAGUGAAAUAUAUCUCUAAAUUUUCGUUAAAUUUAGAGGUAUUGUAGCACUUUUUUUGUUUCUAAUUAAGAGUCUCAUGCUUCUACAAAAAUUUAAAAACAAUUGUUAUAUCAUGAUGUGCAAAUUGG